Molecule: long non-coding RNA, 230 nt
Filed under: Hucho hucho (huchen)
Lineage: Eukaryota; Metazoa; Chordata; Actinopteri; Salmoniformes; Salmonidae
Description: HOX antisense intergenic RNA myeloid 1 conserved region 2 (ENSHHUG00000007660.1)
Rfam family: HOX antisense intergenic RNA myeloid 1 conserved region 2
Source: RNAcentral
GAGACUGCUGCAUGCUGCUGCACGCUUGGAGAGCCCGCGUGUUUGAACAGCUAUAAAAAUUAAUUAUUACCAAAGGCUUACAAAGCUUCAGAGUUUUUGGCCUCGAUUCGCGAAUCCCAUCUGAAAAGUAAAGAGGGUUGUUAUUUGUGCAUUAUGUAUCACAAUUGGUCUCUUUGAUAACGUUCUCAUUCAUACGGGGUUUGAUUUAUGAGCUAGUGAAGGCAAACAUG